GAUGAACGCUGGCGGCGUGCUUAACACAUGCAAGUCGAACGGAAAGGCUCCUGCUUGCAGGGGUACUCGAGUGGCGAACGGGUGAGUAACACGUGGGUGAUCUGCCCUGCACUUCGGGAUAAGCCUGGGAAACUGGGUCUAAUACCGGAUAGGACGAUGGUUUGGAUGCCAUUGUGGAAAGUUUUUUCGGUGUGGGAUGAGCUCGCGGCCUAUCAGCUUGUUGGUGGGGUAAUGGCCUACCAAGGCGUCGACGGGUAGCCGGCCUGUGAGGGUGUACGGCCACAUUGGGACUGAGAUACGGCCCAGACUCCUACGGGAGGCAGCAGUGGGGAAUAUUGCACAAUGGGCGCAAGCCUGAUGCAGCGACGCCGCGUGGGGGAUGACGGCCUUCGGGUUGUAAACUCCUUUCGCUAGGGACGAAGCGCAAGUGACGGUACCUGGAGAAGAAGCACCGGCUAACUACGU
Molecule: ribosomal RNA, 465 nt
Filed under: uncultured bacterium
Lineage: Bacteria
Description: partial 16S ribosomal RNA
Rfam family: Bacterial small subunit ribosomal RNA
Source: RNAcentral